Molecule: ribosomal RNA, 497 nt
Filed under: uncultured bacterium
Lineage: Bacteria
Description: partial 16S ribosomal RNA
Rfam family: Bacterial small subunit ribosomal RNA
Source: RNAcentral
GAUGAACGCUGGCGGCGUGCCUAAUACAUGCAAGUCGAGCGAACAGAUGAGGAGCUUGCUCCUCUGACGUUAGCGGCGGACGGGUGAGUAACACGUGGAUAACCUACCUAUAAGACUGGGAUAACUUCGGGAAACCGGAGCUAAUACCGGAUAAUAUAUUGAACCGCAUGGUUCAAUAGUGAAAGACGAUUUUGCUGUCACUUAUAGAUGGAUCCGCGCCGCAUUAGCUAGUUGGUAAGGUAACGGCUUACCAAGGCAACGAUGCGUAGCCGACCUGAGAGGGUGAUCGGCCACACUGGAACUGAGACACGGUCGAGACUCCUACGGGAGGCAGCAGUAGGGAAUCUUCCGCAAUGGGCGAAAGCCUGACGGAGCAACGCCGCGUGAGUGAUGAAGGUCUUCGGAUCGUAAAACUCUGUUAUUAGGGAAGAACAAAUGUGUAAGUAACUAUGCACGUCUUGACGGUACCUAAUCAGAAAGCCACGGCUAACUACGUG